UGAGGAAUAUUGGUCAAUGGACGCAAGUCUGAACCAGCCAAGUAGCGUGCAGGAUGACGGCCCUAUGGGUUGUAAACUGCUUUUAUAUGGGGAUAAAGUGGGGGACGUGUUCCCUUUUGCAGGUACCAUAUGAAUAAGGAACGGCUAAUUCCGUGCCAGCAGCCGCGGUAAUACGGAAGGUUCGGGCGUUAUCCGGAUUUAUUGGGUUUAAAGGGAGCGUAGGCCGUUUGGUAAGCGUGUUGUGAAAUGUAGGAGCUCAACUUCUAGAUUGCAGCGCGAACUGUCAGACUUGAGUGCGCACAACGUAGGCGGAAUUCAUGGUGUAGCGGUGAAAUGCUUAGAUAUCAUGAAGAACUCCGAUUGCGAAGGCAGCUUACGGGAGCGCAACUGACGCUGAAGCUCGAAGGUGCGGGUAUCGAACAGG
This 424-nucleotide ribosomal RNA is filed under the name Verrucomicrobiota bacterium. Its description in RNAcentral is "Verrucomicrobia bacterium partial 16S ribosomal RNA". It matches the Rfam family "Bacterial small subunit ribosomal RNA", at positions 355 to 776 of the family's 1533-position model. The record is from RNAcentral. Lineage: Bacteria; Pseudomonadati; Verrucomicrobiota.